ACUUCCCCACAAAAUGCGGUCAAGCAUUUUGAACGUCGGCUCUGCCGACGGGAUCAAAGAGCCGAGAAAUCCAGUAAAGGAUUUCGAGUAAAACCGACCGC
This 101-nucleotide non-coding RNA is filed under the name Cardiobacterium hominis ATCC 15826. RNAcentral describes it as "Aggregatibacter sRNA 22". It matches the Rfam family "Aggregatibacter sRNA 22". The record is from Rfam by way of RNAcentral. Lineage: Bacteria; Pseudomonadati; Pseudomonadota; Gammaproteobacteria; Cardiobacteriales; Cardiobacteriaceae.